ACAAAUGAAUACAUAGUAAAGAAAGCAAUACAACCAUCAUAUAUAUAAUUGAAAGUUUACAUUUGUCAAGAGUUACAUGUUCAAAACCAAUUACAAUAUGAUGUCAAAAUACGAGAUUAAACUGGCGCCGCAGCAUCCCUUCAUCAAAAGCGUAAUGAAUACCUGAAAUUACUGAUUUCCUGGGACAUACAAGUAAUUUUGAAAGAGUAGAUCAGCAUUUAAGCUGGUGAGUUUCAUAAGUAUUUAAAUGACAAUGUUUGAAUGAAAUGAAAUGUUUUGUCUUUGUUUGUUUGUGUUUAGAAAAUCCUAUAUUUUCUACUAGUAUAAUAGUAGCCUUCACUCAAGACCAAUGUUUGAAUGAAAUGAAAUGUUUUGUCUUUGUUUGUUUGUGUUUAGAAAAUCCUAUAUUUUCUACUAGUAUAAUAGUAGCCUUCACUCAAGACCAAUGUUUGUUUGAAAUGAAAUGUUUUGUCUUUGUUUGUUUGUGUUUAGAAAAUCCUAUAUUUUCUACUAGUAUAAUAGUAGCCUUCACUCAAGACCAAUGUUUGUUUCUAAAAUGUAUGUAAGUGUAAAAUAACCAAUGAGUUUGAAAACCUUGUAAAUCAAUGCAUUUUUAAUACCCCUUGUGAGUUUUAUAACCAUACUAUUGACUCGGAAUGCCUAUACACAACGUUCUUCAGGCGUUGGAAUGUUAUGACGUUUGUCACCCCAAACGGUGGACUGCAGCUAACAGUCA
This 736-nucleotide long non-coding RNA is filed under the name Lactuca sativa (garden lettuce). RNAcentral's name for it is "long non-coding RNA (LSAT_LNC006348)". Lineage: Eukaryota; Viridiplantae; Streptophyta; Magnoliopsida; Asterales; Asteraceae. The record is from RNAcentral.